RNAcentral lists this long non-coding RNA (624 nucleotides) under Helianthus annuus (common sunflower). Its description in RNAcentral is "hypothetical non coding rna". The record is from RNAcentral. Lineage: Eukaryota; Viridiplantae; Streptophyta; Magnoliopsida; Asterales; Asteraceae.
CACUCUUAUCAUCUUUUCACCUUCAAAAUCCCCUAAAAUAUUUCAAUCAUAUCUUCUAGGGUUUAACAUUCUGUCUCCAUCUUUCCCAUCUACGAUCACAGUCACCGUAAAAAAAAACUCGCAAAGCCUUCAACCGCUGAUGCACAAUUAAUUUUCUGGCCGCCGUUCGCGGCGGCAGUUGACGUUCUAGUCUUCAAAAUCGGUGAGUUUCAGGCCAUCGGAGAUGGCAUAGGCCGGUCGGCGAAGGUAAAGCAGCCGGAGGUCGGAGGAACCGCGUCAUCGCAGCCGGUGAAAAUGCCGGACAGGUCACGGUUGGCGAUUGAGGACAAUCGCCGGGGAAAAUUUUUCUUUCGUUGUUUAUUCUUCUGUUUUAUAUACAGGAAGUUCAUGUAUUUGAGCGGCAGUGACCGCCGGAAUGAUUGAAACCAAAAAAAAAAAAAUCAACAAUUUCGGAAUUUGUUAUGUAAGUGCGAAUCCAAGAAACACAUAUAUUCAAAUUGAACCUGAUGAACCCUUAUAUUGCAUCUAUAUGACCAAUUGAUCCAUACAUCAUGACAGCAUAUUAUGGAAUUUCAAAACGGAAUAACAGGAGAAACAAUUUAUUUAUCGGAAUUGUUAGCGUAA